This 440-nucleotide ribosomal RNA is filed under the name uncultured bacterium. Its description in RNAcentral is "partial 16S ribosomal RNA". It matches the Rfam family "Bacterial small subunit ribosomal RNA", at positions 338 to 795 of the family's 1533-position model. The record is from RNAcentral.
CCUACGGGAGGCAGCAGUGAGGAAUAUUGCACAAUGGGGGAAACCCUGAUGCAGCGACGCCGCGUGAGUGAAGAAGGACUUAGGUAUGUAAAGCUCUAUCAGCAGGGGAGAAAAUGACGGUACCUGACGAAGAAGCCCCGGCUAACUACGUGCCAGCAGCCGCGGUAAUACGUAGGGAGCAAGCGUUAUCCGGAUUUACUGGGUGUAAAGGGAGCGUAGACGGCGCGGCAAGUCUGAAGUGAAAGGCAGGGGCUGAACCCUGGAACUGCAUUGGAAACUGCCAUGCUAGAGUGCUGGAGAGGUAAGUGGAAUUCCUGGUGUAGCGGUGAAAUGCGUAGAUAUCAGGAGGAACACCAGUGGCGAAGGCGGCUUACUGGACAGUAACUGACGUUGAGGCUCGAAAGCGUGGGGAGCAAACAGGAUUAGAUACCCGGGUAGUC